GACGAACGCUGGCGGCGUGCCUAAUACAUGCGAGUCGAACGCUUUUUCUUUCACCGGAGCUUGCUCCACCGAAAGAAAAAGAGUGGCGAACGGGUGAGUAACACGUGGGUAACCUGCCCAUCAGAAGGGGAUAACACUUGGAAACAGGUGCUAAUACCGUAUAACAAGUAAAACCGCAUGGUUUUACUUUGAAAGGCGCUUUUGCGUCACUGAUGGAUGGACCCGCGGUGCAUUAGCUAGUUGGUGAGGUAACGGCUCACCAAGGCAACGAUGCAUAGCCGACCUGAGAGGGUGAUCGGCCACAUUGGGACUGAGACACGGCCCAAACUCCUACGGGAGGCAGCAGUAGGGAAUCUUCGGCAAUGGACGAAAGUCUGACCGAGCAACGCCGCGUGAGUGAAGAAGGUUUUCGGAUCGUAAAACUCUGUUGUUAGAGAAGAACAAGGAUGAGAGUAAAAUGUUCAUCCCUUGACGGUAUCUAACCAGAAAGCCACGGCUAACUACGUGCCAGCAGCCGCGGUAAUACGUAGGUGGCAAGCGUUGUCCGGAUUUAUUGGGCGUAAAGCGAGCGCAGGCGGUUUCUUAAGUCUGAUGUGAAAGCCCCCGGCUCAACCGGGGAGGGUCAUUGGAAACUGGGAAACUUGAGUGCAGAAGAGGAGAGUGGAAUUCCAUGUGUAGCGGUGAAAUGCGUAGAUAUAUGGAGGAACACCAGUGGCGAAGGCGGCUCUCUGGUCUGUAACUGACGCUGAGGCUCGAAAGCGUGGGGAGCAAACAGG
This 776-nucleotide ribosomal RNA is filed under the name uncultured Enterococcaceae bacterium. RNAcentral's name for it is "bacterial SSU rRNA". It matches the Rfam family "Bacterial small subunit ribosomal RNA", at positions 28 to 776 of the family's 1533-position model. The record is from RNAcentral. Lineage: Bacteria; Bacillati; Bacillota; Bacilli; Lactobacillales; Enterococcaceae.